AGUUUGAUCAUGGCUCAGAUUGAACGCUGGCGGCAGGCCUAACACAUGCAAGUCGAGCGGAUGAAGGGAGCUUGCUCCUGGAUUCAGCGGCGGACGGGUGAGUAAUGCCUAGGAAUCUGCCUGGUAGUGGGGGAUAACGUCCGGAAACGGGCGCUAAUACCGCAUACGUCCUGAGGGAGAAAGUGGGGGAUCUUCGGACCUCACGCUAUCAGAUGAGCCUAGGUCGGAUUAGCUAGUUGGUGGGGUAAAGGCCUACCAAGGCGACGAUCCGUAACUGGUCUGAGAGGAUGAUCAGUCACACUGGAACUGAGACACGGUCCAGACUCCUACGGGAGGCAGCAGUGGGGAAUAUUGGACAAUGGGCGAAAGCCUGAUCCAGCCAUGCCGCGUGUGUGAAGAAGGUCUUCGGAUUGUAAAGCACUUUAAGUUGGGAGGAAGGGCAGUAAGUUAAUACCUUGCUGUUUUGACGUUACCAACAGAAUAAGCACCGGCUAACUUCGUGCCAGCAGCCGCGGUAAUACGAAGGGUGCAAGCGUUAAUCGGAAUUACUGGGCGUAAAGCGCGCGUAGGUGGUUCAGCAAGUUGGAUGUGAAAUCCCCGGGCUCAACCUGGGAACUGCAUCCAAAACUACUGAGCUAGAGUACGGUAGAGGGUGGUGGAAUUUCCUGUGUAGCGGUGAAAUGCGUAGAUAUAGGAAGGAACACCAGUGGCGAAGGCGACCACCUGGACUGAUACUGACACUGAGGUGCGAAAGCGUGGGGAGCAAACAGGAUUAGAUACCCUGGUAGUCCACGCCGUAAACGAUGUCGACUAGCCGUUGGGAUCCUUGAGAUCUUAGUGGCGCAGCUAACGCGAUAAGUCGCCCCCCCCGGGAU
RNAcentral lists this ribosomal RNA (875 nucleotides) under Pseudomonas aeruginosa. RNAcentral describes it as "bacterial SSU rRNA". It matches the Rfam family "Bacterial small subunit ribosomal RNA", at positions 10 to 880 of the family's 1533-position model. Lineage: Bacteria; Pseudomonadati; Pseudomonadota; Gammaproteobacteria; Pseudomonadales; Pseudomonadaceae. The record is from RNAcentral.